Long non-coding RNA from Solanum pennellii, 504 nucleotides. RefSeq lists it as uncharacterized. The transcript has 2 exons. NCBI's taxonomy places the organism in Eukaryota, Viridiplantae, Streptophyta, Magnoliopsida, Solanales, Solanaceae. The record is from RefSeq and is a predicted model, not a curated record.
CUUCUUCAUUUAUGCUCCACUGUCUGUGCACAUCAAAGUUCACUUCUUUCUCUUCAGCAUUCUUCAGACACAAUAUGAUCAUAUGAAAGUGAAUGGUUUUGGAAUAAGAGCAGAGCUAGGAGAAGUAGGCGCAGACACGGAAGUGGUUACAGUUGAUUGAGAAGUUGGAUUGAGUAUGAUCUCUGCUACAACAAAUAUAAGGGAGAACUCUUGAGUAAUUAUAAUCCUCUCAUCUUUCAUCAUGUACCAAGGCAUAAUACAAGCCUCUGAAAGUCACUGGUUUGUGGAGAGAUUAUGGUGGGAUCAUAACCUCAUUGUGAAUAUAUCAUUGUUGAAAGGAUCUUAAAUUACAUACUACUUGUAUCACUUCUCUGUCUUCAUUGAGUUUUGUAGAUAAUGAUGUGAUAAUACUCUUGUUGAGUAGAAGUGUAAGAUCAAGAACAAUGAUCCAUUGUUAAACUAAUUUUCUGUCAUUCUGAGAUUAACAAAUUGGCUUUUAGUGAA